This is an RNA transcript of Cuculus canorus (common cuckoo), 841 nucleotides long. It is a transcript of the gene named SPT4 homolog, DSIF elongation factor subunit, with no coding region annotated. The transcript is spliced from 6 exons. Lineage: Eukaryota; Metazoa; Chordata; Aves; Cuculiformes; Cuculidae. The record is from RefSeq and is a predicted model, not a curated record.
CAUCCCAGCCCCGCCCCUCGGCCCCGGUUCCGGCCCCGCCCCGCGGCGAUGGCGCUGGAGACUGUGCCCAAGGAUCUGCGCCACCUCCGCGCCUGUCUGCUCUGUUCGCUUGUCAAGACCAUUGACCAGUUUGAGUAUGAUGGCUGUGACAACUGCGAUGCCUACCUGCAGAUGAAGGGCAACCGGGAGAUGGUCUAUGACUGCACCAGCUCCUCCUUCGACGGGAUCAUCGCCAUGAUGAGCCCCGAGGACAGCUGGGUCUCCAAGUGGCAGCGCAUCAGUAACUUCAAGCCGGGUGUCUAUGCAGUGUCUGUGACUGGCCGCCUGCCCCAAGGCUCCCUGUUUCUGCCCUGACCUCCACCAACUGCAUUGGAAAAGAACUAGAACAUCACAAGGCUUGAAGCUGAGGUCUGCUGGCACAGCUUUGGGGAUUGUCCGAGAGCUGAAGAGCCGUGGUGUGGCUUACAAGUCCCGAGACACAGCUAUCAAAACCUAAGGGCUCUUGUGGUGCCUGGAGGAUCCCCCAGCGUAGCAUUUGGAGGUGGUGGGCGCACAGGGCACUGCUCUGAAACUUUUUAGUUUUAGCAUGUGUGAAAGCCAGCCUGGACUCCAGGAGUUUACUGGCUCCCCUCCUCUCGCUCCAUAUCUCUGGACUCUGCCGUGCCUCUGCCCACAAAGUCUGUCAGAGCUUUUUUUGAGCCUUGACAAGCGAGAGAGUGUGGGUGGGUCUGGGAAAUGGUGUUUAAUGGUGAUGCACAAAGCUUUUUUACAGUUUGCGUGGAAAAACAGAGAGCUGGGAUUUGGCUGUGUAAAUACUGCAAUAAAACACACUGCUUGGUCA